GAGAGAUGGGGCGUUCCUGGGCCGCUGCAGGUCUGUCACCUUUCUUCAGGCCCUUUCAGAAACAUCAUUUCCUUCUUCUUCUUCUUCUUCUGGUGUUCUGUUUUUAUUCUGGGUAAUGAGCUUUGGCUUGGCUUUUGGUUUCUAUGUUUAAAAGAAAAACGAGAGAGCGGGAGCAAGAAAAACAAGAAAAAAAGUGAGCAGGCGUUGUGUUUUGUUGAAAUCUCCCGUGUGUUUUCUGUGAUCCUCUUGUUGCUUGUUUUUGCCGUCCUUCACGUUAUGACGUUCGCUUAAUUUGAACUUUGGCGUCUUUGACAGCCACGUACCUUCUCUGUUACCUUCGAGUUAUGAAGUCUACACUACAUGCAGAUAACCACGGCCGCCGGUGUAUUUUUAGUCAAGCUGAACAACACUGGCUCAUGAGUAAGAUCGAUUGUCAGGUCAGACAGACUGGCACUUGCUGAGUGGAUAUUGGAGUUCAGUCGUCAGACAGGAAGUUUGGUGGGUGAGAUACAAAUUCUCAAACUGUAAAGAAGAUUAAAUGUCACGAGACCUCACACUCAUCUGGAAGCAAGAACAUCACUUGAAAGGGUAUUUUAUUGUUUUUGAUGAAUUCUGUACUUUGUUUUUUAGCCAAAUACUUUUCCAGUGCUUUAUAAACAGCAAGGAUUGUAAAUCUGAAUAACUCAUAGCAGGGGAGGCUCACACAGAGCUCGUUUAACGGCCCAGCUCGUUGGUUCUCCGGAGAUCUAACAAGACUCGGACUGUUGCCUUCCCAAAUGUCAAAAUUACAGGAAGCUGCUCCAUUAAAAACAAGAAGAGAAAAAAACAAAACAGAACGAGCGCUUUGAAUCCAUGUGCGGGAAAAAUAACGCUGUGUUUGUUCUUUCUUUUAGUCUUUGAUGAUGUUCUUUUUUUUUUUCAUCUUGGUGUUUUUGGUGCGCAAAAAUGUAAAAAAGAAAAAAACUUACAACACAGAAUACCUCAGAAAAGAAAUCCAUGUAACCUUGACGACCUCCUUAUAUUGUCAGACCCUGUCCAUCAACACUCAUCUCUGGACACUUUCAUCUCCAUUUUUGUCAUUUUUCUUUGUUCCUCCUGCCAAAUGCAGUGCGUCGUAGCCAGUAAAGGUUCCACAAGUUUGCUUUGUCUAUUUUUUUUAAAACACUAAUUUAGCUUCACAUUCCCGCAUGUUCUAUUUUUUAAUUUGUCGACAUUCUUGGUCUUAAUCCUUUCACAGCCCACACUGCAUUGAGCUGUUGUUUUCAAGACAAUUUUAAACACUGCUAUUUCCCUGUGGCUCGGAAAGAUUCACAGAAGACAUUCUUUGAAUCCCUGUAAAAGAUGGAAGUUGAAAAAAACCCAACUCUCCAGUCUUUUGUUUCUCCAAGUGGGUUUGCUGAUAGAAUGAAGGCCAAUGCUGUAUGUGAAACACUUGAAACCACACAUUCCCCACCUUGUUCCCUUUGCAUACCUCUUUAUCAACUUUUUAUUGUUGUUAAAAACUGAAUGUAAGAAAAAAACGCAAACACAACAAACCUCUAAUUUAACUAUACAUAUUUAAGAAUAAAAGAAUACUCUAUAUGUGCACAUAGAUAUACCUAUACAAGCCCCACACAGACAUAAACACAAAUGCAUAUGUAUAUAAAAAUCUCUAAUGUCAUAUACUUUUAUCUUGAAAAGGAAGAGGAUGAGCCUUUUCCAUUGAUGAUUCAGGGAAACAAUACAGAAGUCCAGUGCAGUAUGUUAGGUGAAAUCGCUCCCACUCUGUCACUUUUGGUGUUUGUUUUCUUACUCUGUUCUUGCUUGCUAUUUUCCCAUGAUGUAGCAUAGGGCAAAGGGGCAGGGCGGCUCAAGGUUGUUGGGUUUUUUUGUUAACAGACGAUGUAGUGAAACUAGGAUCUUGUGUAGUUGUAGUCUUUUUAGGCCUGAUUCUGUG
Long non-coding RNA from Oreochromis aureus, 1936 nucleotides. NCBI's taxonomy places the organism in Eukaryota, Metazoa, Chordata, Actinopteri, Cichliformes, Cichlidae. The record is from Ensembl.